This 2317-nucleotide ribosomal RNA is filed under the name Pilophorus cereolus. RNAcentral describes it as "partial small subunit ribosomal RNA". It matches the Rfam family "Eukaryotic small subunit ribosomal RNA". The record is from RNAcentral. Lineage: Eukaryota; Fungi; Ascomycota; Lecanoromycetes; Lecanorales; Cladoniaceae.
UCAUGUCUAAAGUUAAGCAAUCUAUACCGUGAAACUGCGAAUGGCUCAUUAAAUCAGUUAUCGUUUAUUUGAUAGUACCUUACUACUUGGAUACCUGUGGUAAUUCUAGAGCUAAUACAUGCUAAAAACCUCGACUUCGGAAGGGGUGUAUUUAUUAGAUAAAAAACCAAUGCCCUCCGGGGCUCCUUGGUGAUUCAUAAUAACUCAACGAAUCGCAUGGCCUUGCGCCGGCGAUGGUUCAUUCAAAUUUCUGCCCUAUCAACUUUCGAUGGUAGUAUAGAGGACUACCAUGGUUUCUACGGGUAACGGGGAAUUAGGGUUCUAUUCCGGAGAGGGAGCCUGAGAAACGGCUACCACAUCCAAGGAAGGCAGCAGGCGCGCAAAUUACCCAAUCCCGACACGGGGAGGUAGUGACAAUAAAUACUGAUCCAGGGCUCUUUUGGGUCUUGGAAUUGGAAUGAGUACAAUUUAAAUCCCUUAACGAGGAACAAUUGGAGGGCAAGUCUGGUGCCAGCAGCCGCGGUAAUUCCAGCUCCAAUAGCGUAUAUUAAAGUUGUUGCAGUUAAAAAGCUCGUAGUUGAAACUUGGGUCUGGCUGACCGGUCCGCCUCACCGCGUGCACUGGCUCGGCCGGACCUUUCCUUCUGGGGAACCGCAUGGCCUUCAUUGGCCGUGUGGGGGAUCCAGGACUUUUACUUUGAAAAAAUUAGAGUGUUCAAAGCAGGCCUAUGCUCGAAUACAUUAGCAUGGAAUAAUAGAAUAGGACGUGCGGUUCUAUUUUGUUGGUUUCUAGGACCGCCGUAAUGAUUAAUAGGGACGAGGAAUACACCCUAAUUCCCGUUACCCGUAAAACCAUAAAAAGCUGGUGUUCAAAAAGCGUGGUCGUCAAAGGGAUGGGGAUCAAAAAAUAUCCGGCAAUCCUUGGGAGCAUGUAAGCGUUGAAAUAGUGUGGUAGCGAUCGAUUUGAGGCCCGACAUUAGUACUGAUUAUGAAACAUCUUUGGGAAUGUUUCGCAGUAGUAGUCCUAGAAAAUCCCAGAACUCACGUCUGACAAUGACUAAGAAUGCCCCAACUGACCGUAUGAUCUUAUGGCGUCCCGAAGACAUCACAGUAGGAUCAGGGUCUUCCGCGUUAUGCAUGCUAAGGUAUGAGAGCAUUGACCCCUUUGAACAUUCUAAGUAUCCAAAGUAACUUCGCGGACUACGCAUCUGAGUCCGUGAAGGCUAGACACACGUCCAUGACAAGAAGGGUGGGGGUAACAGUAUCAGCCAGUCGGCAGCCUGAGUCCUCCAAUCCAAAAUCCAAGUACGAGCUUUUGAACAGCAUCAAAUUACAUAUAUGGUAUGGAGAUGGAAUCAGGGCGGGGGCUGAUAACUGACCUGCACUUGAAUGAUAGAAUGGGACGUGCGGUUCUAUUUUGUUGGUUUCUAGGACCGCCGUAAUGAUUAAUAGGGAUAGUCGGGGGCAUCAGUAUUCAAUUGUCAGAGGUGAAAUUCUUGGAUUUAUUGAAGACUAACUACUGCGAAAGCAUUUGCCAAGGAUGUUUUCAUUAAUCAGUGAACGAAAGUUAGGGGAUCGAAGACGAUCAGAUACCGUCGUAGUCUUAACCAUAAACUAUGCCGACUGGGGAUCGGACGGUGUUAUUAUUUUGACCCGUUCGGCACCCUACGAGAAAUCAAAGUCUUUGGGUUCUGGGGGGAGUAUGGUCGCAAGGCUGAAACUUAAAGACAUUGACGGAAGGGCACCACCAGGCGUGGAGCCUGCGGCUUAAUUUGACUCAACACGGGGAAACUCACCAGGUCCAGACACAAUAAGGAUUGACAGAUUGAGAGCUCUUUCUUGAUUUUGUGGGUGGUGSUGCAUSGCCSUUYUKAGUUGCUGGAGUGAUCUGCCUGCCUAACCGCGAUAACGAACGACACCCUCUCCUGCUAAAUAGCCCGGUCCGCCUCUGGCGGGCCGCCGCGCUUCUUAGAGGGACUCUCGGCUCAAGCCGAUGGAAGUUUGAGGCAAUAACAGGUCUGUGAUGCCCUUAGAUGUUCUGGGCCGCACGCGCGCUACACUGACCGAGACAACGAGUUCAUCCCCUUGGCCGGAAGGUCUGGGUAAUCUUGCUAACCUCGGUCGUGCUGGGGAUAGAGCAUCGCAAUUAUUGCUCUUCAACGAGGAAUGCCUAGUAAGCGCAAGUCAUCAGCUUGCGUUGAUUACGUCCCUGCCCUUUGUACACCCCGCCCGUCGCUACUACCGAUCGAAUGGCUCAGUGAGGCCUUCGGACUGGCCCAGAGAGGUCGGCAACGACCACUCCGGGCCGGAAAGUGUCA